Molecule: long non-coding RNA, 679 nt
Organism: Macadamia integrifolia
Lineage: Eukaryota; Viridiplantae; Streptophyta; Magnoliopsida; Proteales; Proteaceae
Exons: 2
Source: RefSeq, a predicted model, not a curated record
UUCCUUCCUCUCCCCCAUGCAGAAUUUCAUCCAGAAUUUGGCAUUAAUUCUAUCCAACUUCAUACAAACAGCUUUCAGGGAAUAUGAAGCAAGAGAUAAGGACAGGACCGGCUUGAUAAGGAUUGAAUGCCCUGACAAAGAGCGAAGGAUAGUGUUCCAACUAUACUCUGGCUGAACCUCAGAUUCGGAAGAUUUUCGAACAUCUGGGUCAUCGUUGAGUUCACAUUUGAGCUCUUUGAAUUUUCUGUGGCAAAUAUUGUCACUUUCUCCCAUCUUUUCUACUUUUUAAGAAGGCAUUGAAGAACUUUGAUCCACCAUGGGCUUUCCGCAACCAUUUAACUUAAGGAAAAACGUUUGAAGCCAGAGAUUUCUAUAUAGGUUGAAACCAGCAUGGAAUGAUGGGUGGAAUAUAGGGAAGGUAUGGAACGAUUCAGAGGAUUUGCACAACACAAUUCUGGAUAGCACUACAACAACAUGGCCUUGGAGCGUAGUCCCUCUUUUUCUCGAUGUUCAUAAUUUUGUAUCUAUACCAGCCUACAUGCUCAGGCCUACAAAUGAAGUCCUCCUCAUGCAACUUGUUGCUACUAAUAUCAUUAACAAACUCUCACACAUAGACAUCACGAAUAAGAACAUUGAUGUACUUAGCUACAUAUGUAAUUAUUGAUUAUAUGAUUACCCA